RNAcentral lists this ribosomal RNA (1002 nucleotides) under Aphanomyces helicoides. RNAcentral describes it as "partial large subunit ribosomal RNA". The record is from RNAcentral. Lineage: Eukaryota; Oomycota; Saprolegniomycetes; Saprolegniales; Verrucalvaceae.
UUGAAGCUGUUGUCAGCAUAGCGACUUGGGAAAAGUCCCUUGGAAGAGGGCAGCAUAGAGGGUGAUACUCCCGUCUUUGCCCAAGUUGUCUGUGUGUACGACACGCUUUCUUUGAGUCGAGUUGUUUGGGAAUACAGCUCAAAGUAGRUGSWAAWUUCCAUCUAAAGCUAAAUAUUGGUGCGAGACCGAUAGCGAACAAGUACSGUGAGGGAAAGAUGAAAAGAACUUUGAAAAGAGAGUUAAAGAGUACCUGAACUGUUGAAAGGGAACCGUAUCGUGUCUAGUGUGUAUCCUGUGCAUAUUUCACUGGCGGUCGCAAGAUUGCUGGUGCCCUGUGCAUGGGUGUGACGUCAGAGUCAGUUUGUGCUGCGGGAGAUGGCUAGUGAGGAGGUGCGUCCCUUUUGGGAAAGUUACAGCUCGCUAGCUAGUAGCCGUGGUGUAGACUGAGGUGCCUACAACAUGCUGUGGGGUCUUUUGUUGUCUCGUGUGGGUUUGUUGCCUGGAUAGCUUGCUAUGCUGGUGAUAAUGYAUGCGAUCGAUGGGCAAUCGYAACCUCUGCUGYUCGGGACUCUGGCGAAAUGGAGCGAUAUCKACCCGWCUUGAAACACSGACCCAAKGAGUCUAACAUGUGUGCAAGUAAUUACGGGUGUGGAAAACYCAWAUGYGCAAUGAAAGUAAAGGACACCAAGUGUCUUUGGUAGGAAGGAGCUGUCAUGGCUCUGGCACUAUCGACCGAUCAUGAACCUCCGGGUGAAAGAUUUGAGUAUGAGCAUAUAUGUUGGUACCCGAAAGAUGGUGAACUAUGCCUGAAUAGGGUGAAGCCAGGGGAAACUCUGGUGGAAGCUCGUAGCGAUUCUGACGUGCAAAUCGAUCGUCAAAUUUGGGUAUAGGGGCGAAAGACUAAUCGAACCAUCUAGUAGCUGGUUCCCUCCGAAAUUUCCCUCAGGAUAGCAGCAACUUUUUACGAUAGUUUUAUGAGGUAAAGCGAAUGAUUAGAGGCCU